GCCCUCGUAGAUUAGCGGCAGAUCUUGCACUCUCAAUACUUAUAAUAGUAGCCCGUGAAUUAUGUGGACGACGUGGGUUCGACUCCCACCGAGCGCG
Molecule: non-coding RNA, 97 nt
Organism: Mycena polygramma
Lineage: Eukaryota; Fungi; Basidiomycota; Agaricomycetes; Agaricales; Mycenaceae
Source: the annotation of a GenBank genome assembly